UAGCUGAACUAUCCCUGUUAAUACAGCUUCAAAAAGAAAACUCAAUGUCAAAUACUGAAUGCGAUUCUUAUGAAUGUAACACGCCAAGUAAGGAAGUGGUAGACAUUGACCAGCUUCAAGUUCUUCAACGGUUGUUUGAUGACCUGACAAGAAAACUAGACGAUUCCUUACAAGAGGAAGUUUUACUACGACAAAAAGUUGAUUAGCUGGGAAAAGUAUUAGAUGACGAAAAGCUUAUUAACAAAAUUAGGAACAAUGACCAGAUGACUAAGUACUACACGGGAUUACACUCGUGGUGCCUAUUCGAAAUAAUCUUUGAACUUAUUCUACCAGGCAUAGAACAUUGCUCAAUGUUGUACAAAUAAAGUCUUUCUUACGAAGAGCAGUUUUUGUUGGUUUUGAUGCGAUUAAGACUUAACUUAGGGCAGCAAUAUCUAGCAUAUAGAUUUAAAAUAUCAGUAGGUACAGUGUGUAAAUAUAUCGGUAAAUGGAUUGAUGUAAUGUAUGACCGACUUUCAAAGAACUUCAUGGUGUGGCCUGACCCUCAAACUAACAAGCGCACAAUGCCAUCUUUUUUCAAAAGAAAGUUUCCAAACUGCAUAGCUAUUAUUGAUUGUUUUGAAAUUCCAAUUGAAAGACCAAAAAAUUUACUUGCGCGUUGUUCAACCUAUUCUCACUACAAAAGUCGUCCUACUGCGAAGUAUUUAAUAGCAAUUACACCGCGGGGAGCAAUUUCUUACAUUUCAAUGGGCUAUGGUGGACGACAGACUGAUGUUCACAUCACUUUAGACAAGAAAAAUGUUGCUCUAGGCAAUGACGAAGGUUUCAUAUGUAAGUUAGAGAAAGGUGAUGAAGUUUUAGCAGACAGGGGUUUUUUGGUUAAAAAUGCAGUAGAGAAAAGAGGGGCAAAGCUAACUACUCCAUCCUUUCUCUCUAACAAAGUCAGAUUGACUCGCCGUGAAACCGCAUUUUCACGAAAGGUGUCUAAUGUUCGUAUCCAUGUAGAGCGCGUGAUUGGUCGUCUUCGAGAAAAUUUCCAAAUUCUGACACAUCGAGUACAAAUUCAAUAUUUGCGAAGCGGUAAAAGCAAAUUUGCUUUCCUCGACAAAAUUGUGUUUGUUUGUUGUUGCUUGAACAAUGCCAACCCAAGUGUCGUUCCCCCUUGCUAAAGUGUAAUGUUUCUUGGUGGAAAUAAAGUAAAUAUAAGUCAA
Long non-coding RNA from Daphnia pulex (common water flea), 1211 nucleotides. RefSeq lists it as uncharacterized. NCBI's taxonomy places the organism in Eukaryota, Metazoa, Arthropoda, Branchiopoda, Diplostraca, Daphniidae. The record is from RefSeq and is a predicted model, not a curated record. The transcript has 2 exons.